GGCUCCGCCUCCGCCUCUAACCCCUCCCCGCCGGGCCCGGACCACGCUAGCCGCUGCCUAGCCCGGGCUCCCGGCAGGAGGGCGCCCGGGCCCAGUACCCGAGUGCCCCGGUCUCUAGAGGGCUACGGAGCGCGUCUGCCUCCAGGACCGGGUAUUUGACUGAGCAGCCUGCGAAGUAGAGCGCGGAAGGUCCGCAGUGGGUGCGGCGCGGCGCAGUCGGGGCUAGCCCACUUGCUCAGCGUAGCUUUUCUAGAGCGUCGGGGGUCUCGAGGGGCCGGGGUUGGACAGCAGCUGCGCGACUCCGAGGGACUCUUCUCUGCAGAUCCAGGCCCGCACCUAUCUGCAGAUGUUCUUCCAUAGAGCAAUUCUCUGCACUUCUUAGAAACAACUGUUGCUUAUACAACUGUUGCUUAUAGCAGAAGACAGCCUUUAUCUCUUCCAGUGAUCCACAGACUUGAUGAAAUCAGUUCGGGCCUCAGAGAGAAGAUGAAUUGUAAGCAAAAUUCAAAAAUCACGAUUCUGGGGAAAAAGACCCCCAAAUCCAGAGCCCUGUAGUACCAGCCCUGCUAGUUCAACUGAAGGCUGCAGCAUGCCCUGAUCUAAACGGGAAAACACAACAAGGAAAAUAUCAGAAGCACAAGCCAGAGCUGUUGUCCUCCUUACUCAUCCACUCAUCCAUCAAGAUAAGUCAGAGAUCAAAAGGAAUUCCCUCUCCAUCCUCCAAGAAAGACACUUGAGGAGACAAUUAGUAACAUGGUGAGAGGAGCUGGAUCUCAAGUCCCCAAAGCACAAAGUAAGAAGCAGCCAGCUCUGCCAAGAGACAGGAAAAAACCCUGACUGGACCUUCAGAGACAGAUCAGGAGGAUCAAGGAAACUCCAAUCGAGCACAUCACAUGGGUAAAGUCUUCAGACUCUAUGCCUGGUCUGCAGGACAGUGGGCUAGCAAUUCAUAACGGUUGGAGCCUGGGUCAGGAGGGAGAGGAGCCCGUGUGGCUUGGGGAGGUGGCUGUCAAACAACCUGCUGAGGGACUUGAGCUUCAUUCUGGAAGACACAGGAAGAUGUGGCAGGGUUUUGAGAAGGGGUGUGGCUUUGCAAAGACUUCUUUGGCAGGAAGGAAAGUGUGCUAGGUUUCCACAGCAGCCAGCUUAUCAACGUUCCUCCAGCCCUGCUGAAUUCAGAAUCUCAGGACAUCUGUUCCUCCCGCCACCUUCCUGAUGGCCUACUCGUUUUAUUUUGAAGCACAUACAGUAUCUCUUCGUUUCCAGCAUCGUCCCCAUUAUCCACUACUUCCUCCCAACCGCGCUUUCUAAACUGCUGAGGAUGGAAGAGAAAGCAGACUGGACUUGCAGUAUACAUUUCACACAGAGCUGGGUGCAGCCCGGUGACUCGUGCAGACAACAUCUGGGUUUUAGUUGGAAGACGGCCUCUGCAUUGGAUGAAGCUCUUCCCACAGACUGCAGAUGCCCUGUGGAUGGCUACCUUCCUCUCUGUGAUGGACUGCACCCUUGAGCCAGCCCAAAGAAACACUUCUUUCCCUGAGUCACAUUCACCGGGCAUUUUUUCACAGCAAAGAGGAAAGUGACUAACACAAGUUGUUACCCCAUUUCUGCUAGAUCUGGGCUCCUUUCAUUAGUCAACAUGACAUGGAUUGAACACCCACUCUGCCCUACUACUGAUCUACAAUGAAGGUGCCGGAACAAGGAAGUUAUGGGAACAAGACAGAGUUGGUUCAAAGAGAUGAUCGACAACAGCGCAGACAUGAAUGAGCAGGAUAAUGCAUGAUGACAGCCCAGUGAAGACCAUAAAGCAGAGGAUCCGGGGGCCAAGGAGAAUAUGUCUGCCCUGUGGUCAGGGAGGUCAACUUUUGGGGAAGUAUUUAACAUUGUCCCUGAGGCCUGUGCUUUGAAUCUUCUUGGCCCAUUUCUUAAUAUCAUGGCUCUCAUGACUUGAUCUUAGUGCCUUUCCUCCGCCAUUUCAGCUGUAGGACCCCAGGAAGGCUUCUCAGAGCCUCCCACAGCAAGCCAUAUGCUAUCCUACUACUUAUAAACCCACACUCUAUAAUGGUCCUUCACUCUGGCACCUCAUUAUAGAAAGUAGGAUGAAGUUGGCACCGAGAAUGAUUCCUAUUUGCUUCAGCCACAGUAAUCUCUUCAUUUUCUAAGACUUCAGUUAUGUGUGUUCAAUCAUCAUGGGAAAAUAUUGAAAAGAAAAUUAUUAGAAAUAAGCAGUUUAUUAAUUUAAGUGACUUUUAUUAUAGCAUUUUGUUAUAUGGCUCUACUUUGUUAUUAGUUGUUGGUAAUCAUUUACUAUGCUUUAUAAAUUAUUUGUCAAUAUUAAUAUUUGUUUAUAGGAGAAAAGAGUGCAUAUAGGAUUUGAUGCUAUCUGGGUUUCAAGCAUUCACUGGGGGUCUGGGAAUGGAUCCUCUGAGAUAAAAGGGGCAUGUCUCUUUUAAUACGCAUAAGGUUUACACUGCAGUACUGCUAAGUUCACUUUACUAUUUGGGACUCUGCUGAAAUUAUCUCUUUGCAGAGGAAGAGUAUCUCACCACCCACAUCAGCUUCCUCCUUCACCCAGAACAGAUUCCCAGAAAAUAAAAGUUCCUAAGACUGUUCUAGAAAGUUCAGAGACACAGAUGAGAACUUUGCUCUUUAAUCAUGCUUCAGGAAUGCAGGUGUUAUCUGUACACACUAUUAUCAAUUGUCUUUGAGAUCGCUGGCUAGAGUAAGCUUGGUCAUGAUUUCUAAUCAUUAGAGAUAGGUUGGGAGUUUUCAAUUCAUUUAUUCUCUUUAUUGUAGCUAAUUGAAGAAUACGUUGCCUUUGGAUUCAAAUAGCCAUUACUGGUUCUCUUUGCCAAGCCCUAUGCAAGACAUAUCUCCUUGGGAUUUUGUGAUGGCUUAGUGCUCUGUGUCAGGGAUAGAGAGGUGAGGCUCAGGUGAAUUAAGGGCUAGCUCAAAGUCAAAUGUAGGGGUAGAAACACGUGCAAGUCUUCUGACCCCAGUACAUGGACUUGCAGGCUGGAGCUCUCCUACCUUUCUUUUUACACACAGUAUUGACUCACAUCUUGAGGAAACUGAGGUUAAAUGUAAUGCGCAAGCAUUCAUCUUUGUAAAGAUUUGUUUCAUUGGGACCACUGGUUACAAGUGAAAGCUACAGUGGAUGUGUCCAUGACAUAGAUUAAACACGAUUACAGAGGAGGUGGUGUAUCCCUCACAUCUUGACUUCUCUUACGUUUAAUAUAACCCUGAAGAGGACACAGAAGUUCAAAUAGAGCAUAUGGCAUUCAUAAGGUUACAUACAUGUAAUCAUACAUGAUACUUUUAUUGUAAAUAAAAAACACUAUUUAUAAUGGCAACAAGUGCAUUAUACAGAUAAAACAUAGGACUGCAGCUUCAUUAUUUAUUAAAGGAAAGAAAAAAAAUCUACACAAGUGAUCGGGGAAACAUAGUCUUACUCUGGUGGCAUUUGUCCCUAGAUUGUCCCUAGAUUGCUUUACAGAUUUCAUCACAAUUCAAAUCAAAAUCAUAGCAGGAAUUUGUGGGAUUGUGAUAAACUCAUUUUGAGUUUUCUAUGAAAGUAAUAAAGGCUUUUGAGUAAUCAACACUGAAAAAGAAAACACAGGAAUGGGAGCACUCGACUAGUAAAUGAGACAUUGUUGAGAAGGUGCAGAACAAACAAAUAAACCGAUGGAGAAUCCCUAAAGCAAGGUCACUUGUGCUGCAGUGCACUGACAGAACUCAACACAGCAGCUGUUCUUCAUCGGAGAGGCUGCGACCAUGUAAAAUCAGGAAAUCUUCAAGAUCAGGCCUGUUGACCACUGAUGCUCCCUUACAGGGGAAAAGGUGGAGAGAACAUGGGGAAGCUUAUUACACCUUCUCUUGAGACUCCAGCUUUUUCUUCCUGAACCUCCCAGCCAGUUGUAUAUAAUUCUGUUCCACCUGCACAUGGUCUCAUAGUCUUGGGAGUAUACAGUCUGUGGCAGGCUAGUGGAAGGGAGUGACUCCAUAUUUGCAGUGGUGGGGAAGUCACCCAUCAUUGACAUUGGGAGUGGUUGUGUGGCUACUUUGGGGUCAUUAAUAUACCUAUAAAUAAUUCUUCACCCAUGCUCUGUAAGUAAAAAUAAAGUUAUUAACUCAC
RNAcentral lists this small RNA (4135 nucleotides) under Rattus norvegicus (Norway rat). RNAcentral describes it as "uncharacterized LOC103691652". The record is from RNAcentral. Lineage: Eukaryota; Metazoa; Chordata; Mammalia; Rodentia; Muridae.